Molecule: long non-coding RNA, 971 nt
Filed under: Hordeum vulgare
Lineage: Eukaryota; Viridiplantae; Streptophyta; Magnoliopsida; Poales; Poaceae
Description: long non-coding RNA (HVUL_LNC002647)
Source: RNAcentral
GCUGGCAAGAUUUCUCUUGAAAAUAUAACCUUUUAGCUGAUAUGUCAUACAUAGAGCUCGGCAGGUAUAUAUAGGUGAUAUCUUGCAGCACUCCUUUCUCGAUAUUUAAAGGGGGCAAACCAUGCUCUACACGCACUGCUAAGACCACUGAAACGUGGAUCACCUCUCCACCAGAUUUGCAGGCGCUCUUUUUCAUCCAUCUUGAAACAUGUCAUCACUUAUUCGGUUGAUGUACCAUCACCAUUCGCAUUUGACACAUCAUUCUGCUAUGCCGUGCCCGUGCCAGAAUGAUCUCCCCUAGCCGAGAUCAAAACAAAGCCAACCUUGAAAACAUGCGGGAGUAGUGCAUUUCCAAUAGGAUAAUGGCUAACAAUUUGAUAUUCUCCCUCAUCUCUUACAACUUUUAUAACCUCAAAAUGGUCUGGUUUCUUUGAGGAGCCGUCUUCACAUGAUGAGAUUCAUGCAGUUAUUAAGAAGCUCCCCUCCAAUCAAUUUCUUCGGCCUAAUUUUAUCAACAUUGAUUUUUAUUAAUACUUCGCAAUCAUAAAAAAAGGUUUUUCUAGCCUAUAUGAUGAGUUCUUUAAGGGGGGUAUAAGCCUUUAAAGUAUUCAUAGGCCCUUACCAUCCCUAAUACCUAAAAGAGCAAGAAGAGUAUGAUUGUUGGGUCGCCAUAUGAGAAGUUCCCGAUUAAAAUGCCCAUCAACAUUAGGCAGAUCUUAUCCCACAUUACAUCCACCCUGAUCAUUCUUGGAGGAACCAUUGCCUGAUUGAUCUCUAGCGCAACAUAGUGUUCGAGGCCACGCUCUCUGAGAAUCAUGCAAUCAGCUGCCAUUGGUUAUCGUGCAAGGAUAUCUCGAUGUGCGUCAUUGUCUCCUCCGAUGCGGCCGAGGCAGAAAGGUUACACGUAGACAACGAUUCAAUAUCCGACUCCUCAUGGUUGACACCCAUCUUUUCCCCCUUCUCGUGGUUCC